CUCCCCUGUCACACGCCCUGUGAGGGGGACAAGGGAACUUUUCCUGUUUCACUACUAUGCGGCUGGAGCCCAAAAGCACUCAUCCCAGCUCCUGCACCUGUCUGUCUGCAUGUUUCCCCCUCUUGUAAGGGGUUUGAGUACAUGGUGGCCAAGCAAACAGGCCACACCCUUGUUGCAAGUCCCGCGAGAGGUUCAGAGAACUCUCCCGUUUCACUCCUGCCUCAGGCCUCAGCCACCACAGUAAGUGGAACUCUAUACCUCCACCUCGCCUGGCUGGGUGGAGCCUCUAAACUCAGGAUUCUGCCUUGAGCUGUGGCUCUCCCCUCAGGUUGACAGGGUCCAGAGCAAAACCUACGGAAGAAGCUGCAGAGGCCAGGUGGAGGGAAGGAUGCUGAACUGGAGGAGGCCAGGAAAUUAUGAGGUACACCAAUCAAACAUAGUGUGUCCAGAAUUUGUGGGUUCUUGGUCUCACUGACUUCAAGAACGAAGCUGCGGACCCUCACGGUGAUUCUAAGCACAUUAAAAUCUGGAUGACACUUAUCUGAAUCAUUUCGCAACUUGGAGAGAGAUGGAGAAGACACGCAUGGUGUAACUGGGCAUCACCAGAAUGUGCACUGCCAUCUGUGGCUGUCUUCCUGCUGGCAAAUCCUUUUCAUUCCAAGCAAAUAAGAUUCCCUAAAUUAGACAAAAAGGAAGAAACACAACAGAGUCCAUAAUUCUGAGAGGAAGAGAAGAGUGAUCAUCAGCAGCAAAAGGCAAUUGCAGAGAAGCACCACCAAGAGCCAGCUUCAUGCUCAGGAGUGAAUGCUGAGCCGCCUCCUCGUGGUUUCCGGUGCUCCACAUGUUCAGAGAAACUUCUCUGCACCUCUCCAGAUUGACAAAGUCUCCUGACAAUUACUGAUCAGUCACAUCUACAAAUGUUUGUAGCAUUCUGAGGUGUGACUUAUCUACAUCUUGGGAAAUACAUUUCUGCAAUUAAUUAAUUACUGAUUAAUGGAGCAACUACAGAAAAUAUUCAAAUCGAAGAAAGGAAGGUGGACAAGGGAAAGGAUGGAAAGAUGAGUAUGACCCAGUCCUGUACUGAAGAUGAACAGACUGGACGUCGAAACAUAAAUAAAAUACAUUGACAAAUGCUGAGACGACCUAGUCUGAGAAGCACUGUACUGUGGGCUGGUAUCAAGGCUUAGUGGGCACCGGGACGGGAGCCACUUUUGCCUGGGAAAAUAAGGUCACUGAGCAUUGGAGGACAAAUAGAGUUUGUGAUGUGUUGUGGGACAUGUCACAGAUGCCUCAUGGCUAUAAGAUAAAAGUGCUCUGCUGGGGAGACUGGCUGAGGUAGUGGUUACGAAAUUGGGAACAGAGAGUGGAGGGCCAAGCUAAACAGCGGGGACCUCAGACACUUCAUUGGAUAAACCCAGCGGUUAAGUCCCUACAGGUUCUCAAGCAGGGAGUGCUGUGGCCCACAAUGGAACUUUCCCUUUGUGGAGUAUUAAUUGAAGAUGAGAGUGUGUGGGGCUGGAGCCUGGAGGCUCUCUGCUUCUCACCUUUUCCAGAUAAAGUUUUCUUCUGCACUUUGAAAACCCUUUCUUGUUGGAAGGCAACUUCCCAUUGUAAAGAAACUCUGGCUGGUGUCCUCUAAGCACAUUUACUUUGGAGAGGUGUAGGAUUAGCAUUUUCACUGAAAUAGUUUUUGUUUCUAAAAGGGCUUACUUUAAGUGGUUAAAACCUCCUUUUUCCCUCAAGCCAUUGCACAAUAUCGAUCACAGUAUUUGUUCAUUUAGCAGAUCUUUUCUUCCUGUGGCCACAAUGAAGGUCAGUGUUGAGCUUUAAUGCAGUCCCUGUCCAAAUGAUGAUCAAUUUCAAAGGAAUAAGAAAUAAAAAUUGAGCUAGCAGUAUUAAAAAAUGAAUUUUGACUAUGAUUAUUCGUAAAAGCAGUGCAAUCAUG
RNAcentral lists this long non-coding RNA (1945 nucleotides) under Homo sapiens (human). Its description in RNAcentral is "HSALNT0130344". Lineage: Eukaryota; Metazoa; Chordata; Mammalia; Primates; Hominidae. The record is from RNAcentral.